This 492-nucleotide ribosomal RNA is filed under the name uncultured bacterium. RNAcentral describes it as "partial 16S ribosomal RNA". It matches the Rfam family "Bacterial small subunit ribosomal RNA", at positions 29 to 507 of the family's 1533-position model. The record is from RNAcentral.
AGUGAACGCUGGCGGUAGGCCUAACACAUGCAAGUCGAACGGCAGCACAGUAAGAGCUUGCUCUUACGGGUGGCGAGUGGCGGACGGGUGAGGAGUACAUCGGAAUCUACUUUUUCGUGGGGGAUAACGUAGGGAAACUUACGCUAAUACCGCAUACGACCUACGGGUGAAAGCAGGGGAUCUUCGGACCUUGCGCGAUUGAAUGAGCCGAUGUCGGAUUAGCUAGUUGGCGGGGUAAAGGCCCACCAAGGCGACGAUCCGUAGCUGGUCUGAGAGGAUGAGCGUCCACACUGGAACUGAGACGCGGUCCAGACUACUACGGGAGCCACCCGUAGGGAAGCGUGCACAAUGGCUGAAAGCUUGACGGCUCUACUCCGCGUAAGUGAGGAAGGUCUUCUGAUCUUAAGACUCUGUGACUAGGGAAAAACAAUGGUGGACGGAACUCUGCACGGCGUCACGCGAGCUAAUCAGAAAGCCACCGCUAAUUUCGUG